Molecule: non-coding RNA, 45 nt
Organism: Schistosoma curassoni
Lineage: Eukaryota; Metazoa; Platyhelminthes; Trematoda; Strigeidida; Schistosomatidae
Source: Rfam
AUUCAGCUGAAGGGUCACAAACAGGACGAAACGCGCGUCCUGGAU